Vidua macroura (Pin-tailed whydah) is the source of this 356-nucleotide long non-coding RNA. RefSeq lists it as uncharacterized. The record is from RefSeq and is a predicted model, not a curated record. The transcript is spliced from 2 exons. NCBI's taxonomy places the organism in Eukaryota, Metazoa, Chordata, Aves, Passeriformes, Viduidae.
CCCAGCUCCCUUUUUUCACAGUCUAUUCCACACAACCAGAUCAAAAGUCAUACACAACAUGGCUCUAUGUAGGGCCCCUAAUAUGACAGCAGCAUUUUGCAACUCAGGCUGCAGCAAUUCAUGGCACUUGGCCUGCCUCUCAGCAAGAGCCUGAAGCAGUUUCAGAUGAAUAAGAUUAGGACCUGAAUGAUGCAUAAUAAGGCUGGAGAAAAUAUUGCCAGAAACAGUCUGUAAGUAUUUUUUAUACCUAACCAUGCCUUUCAUCACCAGAAGACCUAAUUUCAGUGUAAGGGUUAGAAAAGAAAGUAACAUGCAGCAACAAGGUGUCUCAAAGUUGAAAAAACUUAAUAAAUGAA